RNAcentral lists this transfer RNA (77 nucleotides) under Alistipes sp. RNAcentral describes it as "tRNA-His". It matches the Rfam family "tRNA". Rfam says of the family: Transfer RNA (tRNA) molecules are approximately 80 nucleotides in length. Their secondary structure includes four short double-helical elements and three loops (D, anti-codon, and T loops). RNAcentral also lists the same sequence under 1 other name. The record is from RNAcentral. Lineage: Bacteria; Pseudomonadati; Bacteroidota; Bacteroidia; Bacteroidales; Rikenellaceae.
GUGGAUGUAGCUCAGCUGGUUAGAGUAGAGGAUUGUGGUUCCUAAGGUCGUGGGUUCGAAUCCCAUCUUCCACCCCA